UUUGCUGGGGGUGCUACAUAUUGGGUAGCUGAGAAAAAUUUCCGUAAAAUUUUACUCCUGAACCUGAUUCGGAUAAUACCGACGUAGGGAAGCAAGUAUUU
This 101-nucleotide non-coding RNA is filed under the name chicken gut metagenome. RNAcentral describes it as "TPP riboswitch (THI element)". It matches the Rfam family "TPP riboswitch aptamer (THI element)", at positions 6 to 99 of the family's 105-position model. Rfam says of the family: Vitamin B(1) in its active form thiamin pyrophosphate (TPP) is an essential coenzyme that is synthesised by coupling of pyrimidine and thiazole moieties in bacteria. The previously detected thiamin-regulatory element, thi box was extended, resulting in a new, highly conserved RNA secondary structure, the THI element, which is widely distributed in eubacteria and also occurs in some archaea. The record is from RNAcentral.